ACUUAGGCUUCGGUCUAAGUUGAGUGGCGAACGGGUGAGUAACACGUGGGUGACCUACCUUCGAGUGGGGGAUAACGUCCCGAAAGGGACGCUAAUACCGCAUAACAUCCCGCCUUUGAACAGGCGGAGAUCAAAGCCGGGGAUCGCAAGACCUGGCGCUUGAUGAGGGGCCCGCGCCUGAUUAGCUAGUUGGUGGGGUAAUGGCUCACCAAGGCGACGAUCAGUAUCCGGCCUGAGAGGGCGGACGGACACACUGGGACUGAGACACGGCCCAGACUCCUACGGGAGGCAGCAGUGGGGAAUUGUUCGCAAUGGGCGCAAGCCUGACGACGCAACGCCGCGUGGAGGAUGAAGGUCUUCGGAUUGUAAACUCCUGUUGCUCGGGACGAACAGCUCCGACCUAAUACGUCGGAGUCUGACGGUACCGAGUGAGGAAGCCCCGGCUAACUCUGUGCCAGCAGCCGCGGUAAUACAGAGGGGGCAAGCGUUGUUCGGAAUUACUGGGCGUAAAGGGCGCGUAGGCGGCCUGCUAAGUCGAACGUGAAACCCCUGGGCUCAACCCAGGAACUGCGUCCGAUACUGGUUGGCUUGAAUCAGGGAGAGGGAUGUGGAAUUCCAGGUGUAGCGGUGAAAUGCGUAGAUAUCUGGAGGAACACCGGUGGCGAAGGCGACAUCCUGGACCGGCAUUGACGCUGAGGCGCGAAAGCCAGGGGAGCAAACGGGAUUAGAUACCCCGGUAGUCCUGGCCCUAAACGAUGAAUGCUUGGUGUGGCGGGUAUCGAU
This 783-nucleotide ribosomal RNA is filed under the name uncultured Bacillota bacterium. Its description in RNAcentral is "bacterial SSU rRNA". It matches the Rfam family "Bacterial small subunit ribosomal RNA", at positions 71 to 836 of the family's 1533-position model. Lineage: Bacteria; Bacillati; Bacillota. The record is from RNAcentral.